GAUGAACGCUGGCGGCGUGCCUAAUACAUGCAAGUCGAGCGAACAGACGAGGAGCUUGCUCCUUUGACGUUAGCGGCGGACGGGUGAGUAACACGUGGGUAACCUACCUAUAAGACUGGGAUAACUUCGGGAAACCGGAGCUAAUACCGGAUAAUAUUUCGAACCGCAUGGUUCGAUAGUGAAAGAUGGCUCUGCUAUCACUUAUAGAUGGACCUGCGCCGUAUUAGCUAGUUGGUAAGGUAACGGCUUACCAAGGCAACGAUACGUAGCCGACCUGAGAGGGGGAUCGGCCACACUGGAACUGAGACACGGUCCAGACUCCUACGGGAGGCAGCAGUAGGGAAUCUUCCGCAAUGGGCGAAAGCCUGACGGAGCAACGCCGCGUGAGUGAUGAAGGUCUUCGGAUCGUAAAACUCUGUUAUUAGGGAAGAACAAACGUGUAAGUAACUGUGCACGUCUUGACGGUACCUAAUCAGAAAGCCACGGCUAACUACGUG
Molecule: ribosomal RNA, 497 nt
Filed under: uncultured bacterium
Lineage: Bacteria
Description: partial 16S ribosomal RNA
Rfam family: Bacterial small subunit ribosomal RNA
Source: RNAcentral